RNAcentral lists this ribosomal RNA (325 nucleotides) under uncultured eukaryote. RNAcentral's name for it is "partial 18S ribosomal RNA". It matches the Rfam family "Eukaryotic small subunit ribosomal RNA", at positions 1470 to 1796 of the family's 1831-position model. The record is from RNAcentral.
CCCUUAGAUGUUCUGGGCUGCACGCGCGCUACACUGAUGCAUGCAACGAGUUUUCGACCUUGCCUGAAAAGGUUGGGUAAUCUGUUUAACAUGUGUCGUGAUGGGGAUAGACCAUUGCAAUUAUUGAUCUUCAACGAGGAAUUCCUAGUAAGCGCGAGUCAUCAGCUCGUGCUGAUUAUGUCCCUGCCCUUUGUACACACCGCCCGUCGCUCCUACCGAUUGAAUGCUCAGGUGAGCCAUUCGGACUUUCAUCAUGCUGGUUUCCAGUUUUGAUGAAGGAAAGUCUUGCGAACCUUAUCAUUUAGAGGAAGGAGAAGUCGUAACA